RNAcentral lists this ribosomal RNA (306 nucleotides) under Triticum aestivum (bread wheat). RNAcentral's name for it is "partial small subunit ribosomal RNA". The record is from RNAcentral. Lineage: Eukaryota; Viridiplantae; Streptophyta; Magnoliopsida; Poales; Poaceae.
AUGACCAUGCGCCAGCGGUUGAAGUUGACGGCGCCCAGAUACCUUGAACUAGAUGUAGCUGCCGAUGUUGACGCCGUGGAUCGAGGGGGCGACAGAGGGGGUGCAGGUAGUGGGGAGGGACGUGAGCGGCAGCAUACCGGCGUCGGUUGGAGCAGCGAGAGGGAGGGAGCCAUCACGGGAGGUGUCAUCAGUGACCUUGGCGCGGGGACAAGGGAAGGACGCAAGGGGUGCGCCUCCACUGUUGGCAGCCUGCUCAUCGGCCCGUUCAGCGACGAGGUCAUCGCUGGUGACGGAGCCGGCGGGUGA